GUUGGUUGAAAAUCACCUCUGACUUUGGCCAUGGCCACAGGUGAGAUUCGGCACCCAGAGCCACCAGGGGCCUUAGCUCACUGCUGGCUCCUCCAUGUGGGGAGGUGAAAACCCAGGCCCUGACACGC
Molecule: small nucleolar RNA, 128 nt
Filed under: Moschus moschiferus (Siberian musk deer)
Lineage: Eukaryota; Metazoa; Chordata; Mammalia; Artiodactyla; Moschidae
Description: Small nucleolar RNA ACA64 (ENSMMSG00000004077.1)
Rfam family: Small nucleolar RNA ACA64
Source: Rfam by way of RNAcentral